This 468-nucleotide ribosomal RNA is filed under the name uncultured bacterium. Its description in RNAcentral is "partial 16S ribosomal RNA". It matches the Rfam family "Bacterial small subunit ribosomal RNA", at positions 28 to 507 of the family's 1533-position model. The record is from RNAcentral.
GACGAACGCUGGCGGCGUGCUUAACACAUGCAAGUCGAACGGAAAGGCCCUGCUUUUGUGGGGUGCUCGAGUGGCGAACGGGUGAGUAACACGUGAGUAACCUGCCCUUGACUUUGGGAUAACUUCAGGAAACUGGGGCUAAUACCGGAUAGGAGCUCCUGCUGCAUGGUGGGGGGUGGAGAGUUUCGGCGGUUGGGGAUGGACUCGCGGCUUAUCAGCUUGUUGGUGGGGUAGUGGCUUACCAAGGCUUUGACGGGUAGCCGGCCUGAGAGGGUGACCGGCCACAUGGGGACUGGGAUACGGCCCAGACUCCUACGGGGGGCAGCAGGGGGGAAUAUUGCACAAUGGGCGGAAGCCUGAUGCAGCAACGCCGCGUGCGGGAUGACGGCCUUCGGGUUGUAAACCGCUUUCGCCUGUGACGAAGCGUGAGUGACGGUAAUGGGUUAAGAAGCACCGGCUAACUACGUG